GUAGGUGGCAAGCGUUGUCCGGGAAUUAUUGGGGCGUAAAGCGCGCGCAGGCGGUUCUUUAAGUCUGAUGUGAAAGCCCACGGGCUCAACCGUGAGGGUCAUUGGAAACUGGAGAACUUGAGUACAGAAGAGGAAAGCGGAAUUCCACGUGUAGCGGUGAAAUGCGUAGAGAUGUGGAGGAACACCAGUGGCGAAGGCGGCUUUCUGGUCUGUAACUGACGCUGAGGCGCGAAAGCGUGGGGAGCAAACAGGAUUAGAUACCCUGGUAGUCCACGCCGUAAACGAUGAGUGCUAAGUGUUAGGGGGUUUCCGCCCCUUAGUGCUGCAGCUAACGCAUUAAGCACUCCGCCUGGGGAGUACGGCCGCAAAGGCUG
Molecule: ribosomal RNA, 374 nt
Filed under: uncultured organism
Description: partial 16S ribosomal RNA
Rfam family: Bacterial small subunit ribosomal RNA
Source: RNAcentral